AGCAGCCGCGGUAAUUCCAGCUCCAAUAGCGUAUAUUAAAGUUGUUGCAGUUAAAAAGCUCGUAGUUGAAUUUCGGGGUCAAUAAGUUGGUCAUGCCAAUGGUAUGCACUGGCUUUAUUGAUUCCUACCUCUUGACGAACUGUGAUGCCAUUAAUUUGGUGUUGCAAGGAAUCAGGACUGUUACCUUGAAAAAUUAGAGUGUUUAAAGCAAGCUUACGCUUGAAUACAUUAGCAUGGAAUAAUGAAAUAGGACGUUUGAUCCUAUUUUGUUGGUUUCUAGGAUCGACGUAAUGAUUAAUAGGGAUAGUUGGGGGCAUUAGUAUUCAAUUGUCAGAGGUGAAAUUCUUGGAUUUAUUGAAGACUAACUACUGCGAAAGCAUUUGCCAAGGAUGUUUUCAUUAAUCAAGAACGAAAGUUAGGGGAUCGAAGACGAUCAGAUACCGUCGUAGUCUUAACCAUAAACUAUGCCGACUAGGGAUCGGAUGAUGUUAAUUUUUAAUGACU
RNAcentral lists this ribosomal RNA (504 nucleotides) under uncultured Glomus. Its description in RNAcentral is "SSU rRNA". It matches the Rfam family "Eukaryotic small subunit ribosomal RNA", at positions 569 to 1076 of the family's 1831-position model. Lineage: Eukaryota; Fungi; Glomeromycota; Glomeromycetes; Glomerales; Glomeraceae. The record is from RNAcentral.